Molecule: long non-coding RNA, 393 nt
Filed under: Homo sapiens (human)
Lineage: Eukaryota; Metazoa; Chordata; Mammalia; Primates; Hominidae
Description: HSALNT0135458
Source: RNAcentral
UUCUAGGGGCUAGAAGACUGGAAUCAAGUUGUUGGCAGGACUUGUUUUCUCUGAAGGCUCCAGGGAGAAUCCGUCCUCGCCUCUUCUCUCUGCCAAGGCUUCCAACAAGCCUUGGUGUCCUUGGCUGGUGGCCACCUCACUCCAUCUCUGCCUCCGUUUUCCCACGGCCGUCCUCCCCACGUGUCUAUUUUCAGAAGAUCGCUAUUCAACCCGGUACAGAGGGCAGAACAAUGGAGGAGAGAGAACACUCUGGACAUUGGGGUGAAACGUUUGCUGGCCUCUUGGUGCAAGCUGGAGAAAGGCUGGAGCCUGGAGCCCUUCCAAAGAGCAGGAGGAAAGCCCGAGGAGUGAGGGAAGUGCUGAGGAAGACAGGAAAGGAAUUGUACCCAGGUA